Non-coding RNA from Podarcis lilfordi (Lilford's wall lizard), 72 nucleotides. Lineage: Eukaryota; Metazoa; Chordata; Lepidosauria; Squamata; Lacertidae. The record is from the annotation of a GenBank genome assembly.
AGGGCUGUAGUUCAGUGGCAGAGCACCUGUUUUGCAUGCAGAAGAUCUCAGGUUCAAUUCCUAGCAUUUCUG